Long non-coding RNA from Physeter macrocephalus (sperm whale), 1663 nucleotides. RefSeq lists it as uncharacterized. The transcript is spliced from 4 exons. NCBI's taxonomy places the organism in Eukaryota, Metazoa, Chordata, Mammalia, Artiodactyla, Physeteridae. The record is from RefSeq and is a predicted model, not a curated record.
GAUGAUUUUCUAUCUCUGUCACAGGCUUGUUCUGAGGAUCAAAUGGGAUGGUGUGUGUGAAACCUCUGGCACAGGACCUAGACACAAGCAUGAAAAAGUAAUACCAGCUACUACUAUUUCAAAGCCUUUGCUGUCCUUGACAUUUCGGGCAAUAACUUGUGUAUAAAUCAACUGUCAGCCAGCAUGAACAUUUGGAAACAGAUUAUUAGUAAUUCCAGAGACGGAAAAACAACAUAUCUUGUGUUCUUUAACUAAGACGCUCCCAAGGGCUCCUGUGCCUUCAGCUCAGGGUGCAGCAUCUCGUCUCAUCAGCGCCAAGGGACCCCGGCCCUGCUUUGCCCACAGCUGCAGAACAGAAGGCCUGCUUUGUUAUCACUGCCAUCCAGGGCAAAAAACGGGCGGACUACAGUAUGAUACCAGAGCAGCGCUAAUCUAAAGGAAGAGGGAGAGAAACCGCUACUGUCACUUUAUUGAGGACGCACUUAGGGAAAUGCAGCAUUCCAGGGGAGAGCAACAGGAGUGUCCCAGGACUCUCCCUACUCCAUGUCCCAAAUGCGGGGACCGAAACAUCUGAGCGCAGCCAGACUCCGACGGGAGGAACAGAGGCUGCGUGAGGACCGCGUGGAGAAGCUGCGCUCGGGGCCCACAGCACCGCGGCCCCAGUGGGAGGGACGCUUAGUCAGCUGAUGCCCAGCAACGCGGCCAGGAGCAGCCUCUGCCCAACAAGCGGAGAAAACAGAUGAACACAGGGCCCCUCAAUCUGCACAGGCUUUCAUAGCCUCCUCUGAAACGUCAGACAUAAAACAUUCAACCACCGUGACGGCGUCCCCGGAGGACUGCACAGAGAGCAGAAAACCACAGACCGUCCGCCCUCCCCUGUCAGGGGCAGCCUCAACCAGCCAGAGAUGCAGGAGAGAUGGGAAACCCUGUCCCCAUAACGGGGGUGGGAGUCCUCCCCUAGAAAGGGCAAGAGUUGUGGGGAAAAUGAAAAUAUCAAGUUACACUAAAUGGAUCCUGGAAUAAAUGUUGUAAUUUUUUUUUUUUUUUUUUUUUUUUAGCAGGGAUUGUGUCUGGUGAGAGGCCCUACCAUAGCAUUCUGUCUGUUUGCUUGUCCUGGAUGAGGCUGGUUAGUCCUAUAAUGGAAGGGAAGUUCAGCCUUGGCUUCCUCGUGACCCACAUAACAGACUUCGGGAGAAAAAAAAAGAUGAUUUAGUUUUCACUAGUUAGCCCACCUCCUCAUUAUUACCUUUACCCUCAGGCAACAGACUUCUGAUAGACUCACUUCUCCAAUCCCAACUAUUCUUGGGGCUUCCGAGGGCUCAGUAUCAUGCAUCUCAUUCCUGAAUGACAUCACCCUUCCUCCAUCCCUCUCUUUAAUUCACAUUUAUAUACCCACCAUGUGUUAGGCAAAGGCAGCAUAUCAGGUGCCAGGGACACAGAGAAGACAAUGGACUUCCAUUCUCUAUAACCCCGCUCAGGUCAGGAUCAGGGAUCCUUGACCUUCCCAGCAGAGUUUAGGAAUUGCUCAUUCCUUGUGCAACCUCUCCAACUAACUUACAUGUCUAAUGUCUAGUGGUGAAAGUAGCACCCUGAAUGAGAAUUUAGUCCUCUUCCUCCCCCACUAAACUGUCAGUACCCUCAGGGCAAGAGCUACAUCUCAUUC